AUGGAGGGCGAGGCGCCGCAGUCGCACCAGCUGCUCCUGCACGGCGUCAGCCUGGACCUGCGCCUCGACACGGCCACGGCCACGCACCAGCUGCGCGGCGCCCGGCGCCCGGCGUCCCCUGCGCCUACUCCCGUGGCCUUCGACCAGGCCGGCAAGGAGGCCUUCUCCUGCAACUACUGCCAGCGCAAGUUCCUCAGCUCGCAGGCGCUCGCCGGCCACCAGAACGCCCACAAGCUCGAGCGCACCCUCGCCAAGCGCAGCCGCGACGCCUCCUCCACCGCCGCCACGGCAGCUCAAACUGCCACGCCAUCCUCUCACUGGCCCCACGCCGGCGGCGGGGAGCUCUGGGCGUACUCUGCUUCGGCCGCUGCCCCGGAUUCCACGACGAUGGCGCCCCUGAUGGGCAUGGGCUGGGCUGGUAGCACCACAGCAGCCACCGGGGAGGCGGUGCCGGAGAUGGACCUGUCGCUCAAGCUCUGA
RNAcentral lists this ribosomal RNA (480 nucleotides) under Triticum aestivum (bread wheat). Its description in RNAcentral is "partial small subunit ribosomal RNA". Lineage: Eukaryota; Viridiplantae; Streptophyta; Magnoliopsida; Poales; Poaceae. The record is from RNAcentral.